RNAcentral lists this long non-coding RNA (308 nucleotides) under Marmota monax (woodchuck). Lineage: Eukaryota; Metazoa; Chordata; Mammalia; Rodentia; Sciuridae. The record is from RNAcentral.
CCUGGGAUGGCACUGGGCCCAUCAGCUUUGGGCCCAACCCUUUGCUCUUGAAGCAGAGCAGGGCACAUCCUAAGAGAUGGCCGGUGGUGAUGGGAAAUGCUGUUGGUCACGAGGCAUUGUUAUUUGGUUGACAUGCUUGUGUAUUGACUUUUCUAGAGAGGAACAUAAAAAGCAUUCGUCUGGGUGUGCAUUCCUUUCUGUCAAGAAGAAGCUUGAAGAAUUAACCCUUGGUGAAUUUUUGAAACUGGACAAAGAAAGAGCCAAGAACAAAAUUGUAUGUAUUGUUGGGAAAAGAACUAAGAGCAAAC